Molecule: ribosomal RNA, 373 nt
Filed under: uncultured bacterium
Lineage: Bacteria
Description: bacterial SSU rRNA
Rfam family: Bacterial small subunit ribosomal RNA
Source: RNAcentral
ACAGAGGUCCCAAGCGUUGUUCGGAUUUACUGGGCGUAAAGGGUGCGUAGGUGGCCAGGAAAGUCUGAUGUGAAAUCUCGGAGCCUAACUUCGAAACUGCAUUGGAGACUAGUUGGCUUGAGGUAUGGAGGGGAGAUUGGAAUUCUCGGUGUAGCAGUGAAAUGCGUAGAUAUCGAGAGGAACACCGGUGGCGAAGGCGAAUCUCUGGACAUUACCUGACGCUGAGGCACGAAAGCCAAGGGAGCAAACGGGAUUAGAUACCCCGGUAGUCUUGGCUGUAAACGGUGCGCAUUUGCUGUGGGCGGAAUCGACCCCGUCCGUGGCGAAGCUAACGCGAUAAAUGCGCCGCCUGGGGAGUACGGUCGCAAGAUUA